UUACUUACGCUUGGAUAAAGAGAUUUACAAGCCCAAGUUAAAGUCGCUGCUGUCAGUUGUCGAUUGACCGAAAAACUUCUUGAGUGCGGGAAUCAUUAUGGGUUGUCCCUCCUUCUCUCAUCGCCCAGUUGAGGCACAACAAUGACCAGUUGCGAUAUCGGUUAAAAGAGAACAAAAAGCCUAUGAAGAAACUACUAGGAAGAAAAGAUAUCCGUGAUUGGAUCAUGCGCAAAAUUGACAAUGAAGUCGAUUACCAAGAAGGCAUAGUGAGGGUGAAUGCUCCGCAGUUUCUUUUGUCUCAAGAGCCGAUGGUACUCUCGGACACAACAACAGCUGGAGAUGUCGUUCUUAAGUUAGUUGAACGAGGUAUUCAGAAAUUUGACUCAACUCCUUUCAAACUUGGUCGUCGUGACAUUAAGUCUCGAGCUCUCUCCGAGCUUGCUCCCAACGGGAAUUUAAGCUGUUUACUGACUACAGCAGAUCCAGAUAUGGCCUUGGCAACUCACUUUUUGUACGAAGUCGGUGGCAAUAUUGGUCAACGCCGCAUAGAACAGUCUGCCAACAUGCUCACAGUUUACCAAGAAAAUCCUAAUGCUCAAUGGUACCUCCGAUGCGAUCACAAAAUGGGAACAAACAACUGCUAG
This 644-nucleotide long non-coding RNA is filed under the name Bemisia tabaci. RNAcentral's name for it is "lncRNA ENSSSA3NGG003854". Lineage: Eukaryota; Metazoa; Arthropoda; Insecta; Hemiptera; Aleyrodidae. The record is from RNAcentral.